RNAcentral lists this ribosomal RNA (549 nucleotides) under uncultured bacterium. Its description in RNAcentral is "bacterial SSU rRNA". It matches the Rfam family "Bacterial small subunit ribosomal RNA", at positions 355 to 896 of the family's 1533-position model. The record is from RNAcentral.
CUAAGAAUCUUCCGCAAUGGGCGAAAGCCUGACGGAGCGACGCCGCGUGGACGAUGAAGGCCGGAAGGUUGUAAAGUCCUUUUCUUCACGAAGAAUAAGGUGGGGAGUGGAAAGCCCUGCUGAUGACGUUAGUGGGGGAAUAAGCCCCGGCCAAUUACGUGCCAGCAGCCGCGGUAACACGUAUGGGGCAAGCGUUGCUCGGAAUUAUUGGGCGUAAAGGGCGUGUAGGCGGCCUGUUAAGCUUGGCGUGAAAGACCCUGGCCCAACUGGGGUUGUGCGCUGAGAACUGGCAGGCUUGAGUUUAGGAGGGGGAGCUGGAAUUCCAGGUGUAGGGGUGAAAUCUGUAGAUAUCUGGAAGAACACCGGUGGCGAAGGCGAGCUCCUGGCCAUAGACUGACGCUGAGGCGCGAAAGCGUGGGGAGCGAACAGGAUUAGAUACCCUGGUAGUCCACGCCCUAAACGGUGGGCAUUAGGUGUAGGGCUCGUAAGGGCUCUGUGCCGAAGGGAAACCAUUAAAUGCCCCGCCUGGGGAGUACGGCCGCAAGGUUG